GGAAGGGCCAUCGCUCAAAGGAUAAAAGGUACUCCCGGGAUAACAGGCUGAUCACUCCCAAGAGCUCACAUCGACGGAGUGGUUUGGCACCUCGAUGUCGGCUCGUCACAUCCUGGGGCUGGAGAAGGUCCCAAGGGUUGGGCUGUUCGCCCAUUAAAGCGGCACGCGAGCUGGGUUUAGAACGUCGUGAGACAGUUCGGUCCCUAUCUGGUGUGGGCGUUGGAUGAUUGAUGGGAGCUGCUCCUAGUACGAGAGGACCGGAGUGGACGAACCGCUGGUGUUCGGGUUGUGUCGCCAGACGCAUUGCCCGGUAGCUAUGUUCGGACAGGAUAACCGCUGAAGGCAUCUAAGCGGGAAGCCCCCCUUA
This 367-nucleotide ribosomal RNA is filed under the name Pseudo-nitzschia fraudulenta. RNAcentral describes it as "partial Bacterial large subunit ribosomal RNA". It matches the Rfam family "Bacterial large subunit ribosomal RNA", at positions 2435 to 2801 of the family's 2925-position model. The record is from RNAcentral. Lineage: Eukaryota; Bacillariophyta; Bacillariophyceae; Bacillariales; Bacillariaceae.